Molecule: long non-coding RNA, 535 nt
Filed under: Canis lupus familiaris (dog)
Lineage: Eukaryota; Metazoa; Chordata; Mammalia; Carnivora; Canidae
Description: lncRNA (ENSCAFG00040010684.1)
Source: RNAcentral
CCCGCCGCUCACACGGGCUGCGGCCGAGUUCAAUUCAGAACUGCGGCGAGUCCGGCUUCCCCGGGAGCCGGGGCCGCCCGGGCGCCGGGGGCCGAGUUCCGAGGGACUUUGCAAAAGAGGCGCUCGCCUCCCUCCCUGCGCGCCUCCUCCGGGAGCACGGGGAUGCUUGCACCUGCGCCGCCGGGGACCGCCUGGCCAGAGCCGCUGCUCCGCCCCCGGGGACGGGGGGACCUGCGCCCAGGAGCGCUUGGAAAUUGGAUCUUGGCAAAAUUAGCAACGAAUCCAUAAAGGAGACUAAAAGCCAUUUGAUCUCCCUCUUCAAUGACAGUCCCACAAAAGUCGAAGAAAUACAUUAUGUCUCCAAUGAAGAGAGCAGUUGUACCCUAAAAUUAGGACAUGAUUAAGGGGUUUGGGUAGUAUGCCCGUGAUGUACUUUUCAUUGUCAAGGAAUCUCAUCUACACAAAAGAGGCGUGGGUGCACCAUCCAGCAGGUGGGGACUGCUGUCAUCUGACAUAUGUACUGAGCUCUGGGGUG